Molecule: ribosomal RNA, 66 nt
Filed under: Pichia manshurica
Lineage: Eukaryota; Fungi; Ascomycota; Pichiomycetes; Pichiales; Pichiaceae
Description: partial 28S ribosomal RNA
Rfam family: Eukaryotic large subunit ribosomal RNA
Source: RNAcentral
GCUCGACCUCAGAUCAGGUAGGAGUACCCGCUGAACUUAAGCAUAUCAAUAAGCGGAGGAAAAGAA